RNAcentral lists this ribosomal RNA (480 nucleotides) under uncultured bacterium. Its description in RNAcentral is "bacterial SSU rRNA". It matches the Rfam family "Bacterial small subunit ribosomal RNA", at positions 30 to 506 of the family's 1533-position model. The record is from RNAcentral.
UUGAACGCUGGCGGUAUGCUUUACACAUGCAAGUCGAACGGGCUAUGGGGCUUGCUCCAUAGUUAGUGGCGAACGGGUGAGUAAUAUAUCGGAACAUAUCCGGAAGUGGGGGAUAACGUAGCGAAAGUUACGCUAAUACCGCAUAUGCCCUGAGGGGGAAAGGGGGGGAUCGCAAGACCUCUCGCUUUCGGAGUGGCCGAUAUCGGAUUAGCUAGUUGGUGAGGUAAAGGCUCACCAAGGCGACGAUCCGUAGCUGGUCUGAGAGGACGACUAGCCACACUGGAACUGAGACACGGUCCAGACUCCUACGGGAGGCAGCAGUGGGGAAUUUUGGACAAUGGGCGAAAGCCUGAUCCAGCCAUACCGCGUGAGUGAAGAAGGCCUUCGGGUUGUAAAGCUCUUUCAGCCGGAAAGAAAUUGCUUCUAUUAAUACUAGGAGUAGAUGACGGUACCGGAAGAAGAAGCACCGGCUAACUACGU